This is a long non-coding RNA of Serinus canaria (Common canary), 3094 nucleotides long. RefSeq lists it as uncharacterized. NCBI's taxonomy places the organism in Eukaryota, Metazoa, Chordata, Aves, Passeriformes, Fringillidae. The transcript has 3 exons. The record is from RefSeq and is a predicted model, not a curated record.
CGGGGGAGGAGCGAGCCCCGCGCCGCCGCCGCCGGGGCCGCCCAAUCCUCCCUCCCUCUUUUCGCCACCGUGACGCGCUGGGGAAGGGGCGGAGGCGGCUGCGGACCCGACGCUGGAGACCCGGGUGAAGAGUCAAAUACACCUUGUUUUGUGGAGGCUUUAGAAAGAGCAGCAUGGGAAACCUUUCCUGCAGCUACAGUAAGAAAUACUCACUGAAGAUCUCUGGGGGAUGUGAUGAGUGUAACAGCACUUCCCAGACAGUGAAGUCACUCUGUACUGACGCUGAUUUUCAGCCUUAACACAGAGGUUAAAAGAAGAGAAAGGGAUCUUGAGGAGAGGCUGAAGCCAAGGCCUCUGGUUUUCACCCAGGAUUCAGUGCAAGCUUGGAAAGAGUAAAGAGCUUCUCACCUCAUUCCUGAUAUCAGCAAAAGGAUUGCAUAAUCUUAGCACUUCUAAUCUCAAGUAAUAAAUCAAUAUCUGGAGCCUUGUGGGUUGUUUAUUUAUAUUAGGCCAAGUGACUGAUGAAAUCACCUAUUUCCUAAAUACAAUCCUGUUUGUCUUCACAGACUGUACAGUUAACAUGGCCAUUUUGGAGCAAGCAUUCUCCCAAAAAAGUUGCCUGAGUUCCAUCUCAGGCUGGUGACCUUUUAGUGUGCCCCUUUUUGCACACUAGACCUCCACAUGAAUUCUGCCCAUCGAGAGUAAUGGACUUUUGUUUACUCCAGACCUUUUUAAACUGACUCUUGUGUUUUAAAAGAAACAAAACCAACAUAGCAGUCAGUCAUAUACAUUUGAUGACACAAAGGCUUACUGAUAUCUCCAAGUAGGGGGAACUGAAGGAUGGCUGUGAAUAAAAAGCAGCAUUUUAAGAGAAGGGGCUGCUACCAAACAUAGGAAUUGUUUUGGUUUUUGAUGGUUUGUGUUCAAGAUAGUUCGGUUCCUUCCUUAGUCUUAUAUUGGAAAUCAGAUUUAAAAAUUAACUGCAAAUCUUUUUAUAAUGGUUGUCAAAGAAUAACAAAUUUCUAUAUUUUUAUAAGAAAAAUAAAAACCCUUUAUUGCAUCACCAACCAUAAUACUGGGCCUUUGGGGGAAGGAGCAGGAGGAAUGUAGAGACAAAGUCUGAUAGGUUCUCUGAAGAAAAAACCUGCAAUCAUUUUUUUCCCCCUCAUGUACCCAAAUAGGACUUCUCUUUUUGAGUCAUUGUGCAGAUAAUUGAACAGCAGCUUGCAAGCACUGAACAAAUACUUGCAUUACAUAGUUAUAGAAUUGGUUUAAGCCCUGUUCCAUGCGUGAAACAGAAACAUGUACCUGCUUGCAGACGUAACAUUUGUAUUUUGCAAAACCAACAGCUUCAAUACCUGCCCAGAUGUGUGCAGAGGUUAGAGCUACUUUGCUUUCCAGAAGUAAUUCCUGACAGUAACACUCUGCUUAGGCUUCAAGACACCAGAGCAAUGGCAGCACACAUGUUCUGGUUUACUCUUUUCCCUGAUUCUUUCCUCCAAGUGGGCACCUAGUUACUUACAAUCUUGGGUGAAAUCAGCACUCACAGGCAGUUCUAUUGUUUGGGUCACACACUGCACAAAGCCAAAGGAGAAUGAAGUUUCAGUGUUCUCUUACUGUCCGUUUUUUCACAAAACUGAAAAGCCCUAGCUGAAGCACAGCCUUAAAAUAUUAGAUCAAAAAUAGGAUGCAGUGUUGGACCAGGAAUUCCUGACUGAAGGAUAUACAUUUUAAGAAAGGAAAGCAGUAUUGACAGAUUUCUGAUAUAUACCACAUUAAAUAUAAGGAAAGAUGUGGAACUCUAAAAUUAAUGUUGUUGGUGCCAACAGUUACGUGUCUUAUCGGCAGAACAAUCAGUAGAUCACCACAGAAAACAAAACACCUAAAAGUAGACUUCAGAGGAAACUUUGAACAGCCAUUGAAUUGUUAGCACAUAGUGAAAUAUGCUUGAUGCUGCCUAGAGACAUUCACAAGAAAGAAAAUUAAUUGCUAUGGAAAUGAAAUGUUUUAUUUAAUUUUUUACAGGAUCCAGUCUAAAGUGCAUAACCCCAGCUAACAGUAGCCACAACAGGCCAGCCAUACUACAAAGAGUCCAUGAGAUUAGGAUACAUUAUGGCUAAAAAUAAGGCUAAAAAUGGUUUUCUUUCAGCAUCUCUGUACUCUUCUCACCAGGAUCUCUUGAGUCAUAUAGUUUCCUUUAAAGGAAUCAUAACAUUUUAAAUAUGGUGCCCUAAUUUAGUAUGAAACCAUUUGGGGAAUUCAUUGGAGAACAAACACUAGACUUCAGUGAGGACCUUGACCUCAAUAGUUUUUCUGCUUACAUAUGUGAUGGCAGAAGAUUUUGACAGGAGCAGCAAGGCCAGCUCCAAAUUGAUAUUUUUUUCCACAAUUGUUUUUUUUUAUUUAGAACCUAGAUAGGAAAAAAGUUACUUGUUCACCUUAACUUUGCUCCAAUUUUUCAUUUGAGCUCAAUUUUUUUAAAGAUACAAUACUCCAUUUUAAAAGGUAGCAGUAGUCCUAAGUAUGUAUGUUUGUGGGUUGGCUGCUGCUUCAGCUGCAUUUCUGAGGAACAGAGAAGAGGGAAGAACAAACAAUAUCCUCUGUGGUGCUCCUGUGCAUGUUGUUCUCACCGGGAGCAGUUGCACAUGCACGAAUUCCUCUGAAUUUGCACAAUUGAGAAGUAAUGUUGGUAAUGAGAGGAGAAUGACUCAACUUACUGCUUAUCUGUUUGUAGCCAUUCCUAUAAGCCUUGGGGCAAAUACAUCAGUAGAUUUCAUGAAGGGCAGAUAUCAUCUUGUGUGCAAACUGUACUUUGGUGCAGAAAGGUGUAGUUAAACUAAUUUUAAAGUAACUGGCUUCCUAUAUAACAAUUUACCUAUUACACAAAGAUUAAAUGGUGUGUUUCUUUGGGCUUUGAUAUUUCAUUUCUUAAAGUGAAAAACCAAAUCAACAUAUAUACCUUAACAUUGAGAUACUGAGCUCUUUUCUAUACAUAAUAAUAUAAAAAUAUAAGAGAAAAUCCUAAAACUUAUUUGGUGAUAGACCAGCAAUCUACUUAAAUGCAAGCCUUAUAAAGCCUUCUUGUUAUUGUGAA